AACCCAAGGUUGGGGUGCAUCUGUUCAAAGUGAGCUUUCUGGGCCGCUUCCAUCCAUGGCUGUCAAAGCUCUGUUUUUUCUUCCUUCACCUUGUCUUCAUAUUCCCAGUUUCCAGUGUUAAAGGGUGUUCCAUGAGGUUUUGGAGAUGUGCUUUGUGGUUUGACUGGCAGGGUGGGGCCUUAUCAAGAGGGAAAUAACAACACUGAGGGAAACAGCAGCACAGGGAAUAACGGGCUUCUUUCAGGUCUGGGUCAUGCAAAGCAUUAAUGAUAUUUUCUGCACCCCUGAAGUGGAAGGCAGCUGAGGGUCUGCAGGAGACUGAACUGAAGUGGGUCUUGCUUUUGGAAGUAACAGGAGGAGACUUGCUGGUGAGGCCCCACAAACUUCAGCUGGAAGGGAGGAAAAGUCCAUUUAUUUCCACAGACACUGCAAAGUGAAGCGUGAAGAAUUUUGAGAGCUGAACAUGCUGAUCCUGCUGUCUUUAUAGCCUUAAAAGUGGGUGAAGAAUUAAAAUAAAUAGAAAGAGGAGUGGUUUCUGUAGUGGCUUCUGGUUCUGAGGAUUUGUUUCCUUUCCCAGUCUGCUUUAAAAACAUUUCCUUUUUCAUAAAAACAGUGAAUUACUCCAUGGACAUUUAUGUGAA
Cyanistes caeruleus (blue tit) is the source of this 641-nucleotide non-coding RNA. The record is from RefSeq and is a predicted model, not a curated record. NCBI's taxonomy places the organism in Eukaryota, Metazoa, Chordata, Aves, Passeriformes, Paridae.